RNAcentral lists this ribosomal RNA (253 nucleotides) under uncultured bacterium. RNAcentral's name for it is "partial 16S ribosomal RNA". It matches the Rfam family "Bacterial small subunit ribosomal RNA", at positions 524 to 776 of the family's 1533-position model. The record is from RNAcentral.
UACAGAGGGUGCGAGCGUUGUUCGGAAUUACUGGGCGUAAAGCGUGCGCAGGCGGCUUCUCAAGUCAGGGGUGAAAGCCCAGAGCUCAACUCUGGAAUUGCCUUUGAGACUGAGUGGCUUGAGUACGAGAGAGGUGAGUGGAAUUCCCAGUGUAGAGGUGAAAUUCGUAGAUAUUGGGAAGAACACCGGUGGCGAAGGCGGCUCACUGGCUCGUAACUGACGCUCAUGCACGACAGCGUGGGGAUCAAACAGG